UUUAAGUGCAACUGUGAGUUUUCAUGUACAAUUUUAAUCGCCCGUCUUAUAAUUAGUAUUUUUGUUGUUAUGAGAUGAUCAAACAAAAAUAGUACUUUACUCGUGACUUAUCUUUUUUAUUUUUUUUAAAUUGUUCAAAUAAGACGGACGAUCAAACUUGGACGUAGAAAACCAUGGCUGCACUUAAA
This is a non-coding RNA of Oryza meridionalis, 188 nucleotides long. The record is from Rfam. Lineage: Eukaryota; Viridiplantae; Streptophyta; Magnoliopsida; Poales; Poaceae.